UGUAUUAGAAUAAGUCUGUAUUUUUGAGUCAAUCGGAAUUUGCAGUUACUUAAGCCCUCUGAUCUUCAGUGACUUGUCUAUAAAAUGGAAAAACAUACUUAAUUUGUUGGUAAAUAGUGUGUAAGUGUCAAAUAAAUAUAAGUGUCCAGAAUAAUACCUGUCAAAUAAGGAAUAUUUACAGAGCACUUUUUUCUUAAUCGUGCAUUGCUUACAUUAUAAAUUAGAAGAGAGUGAAGUCAGAUUUUACAAGAAAAUGUUACACCUUUUCCUUGUAAAACAAAUAAUUAUCCUUUUACAUAUGUGUGUUUAUAUCCUUUAAUGUAUGUGCCUCAUUUCACAGGAUUGAGUCAAGCUGUAAAAAUAUUUUAAAUACAGUAAAAUUGAAAAUAAAAUAGAGC
RNAcentral lists this long non-coding RNA (398 nucleotides) under Homo sapiens (human). RNAcentral describes it as "non-protein coding lnc-TMA16-2:1". The record is from RNAcentral. Lineage: Eukaryota; Metazoa; Chordata; Mammalia; Primates; Hominidae.